This is a long non-coding RNA of Homo sapiens (human), 325 nucleotides long. Lineage: Eukaryota; Metazoa; Chordata; Mammalia; Primates; Hominidae. The record is from Ensembl.
GGGCCUGCUGGACCCUGACCUGAGACCUGGUGACAGGAGCCAUGAGGGGCCAGGCCUCAGGUCCCACAGCCUCCAGGACCACUGGCUGCCCAUGAGAGACGAAGGAUGGCAUCCAAGGGGGCCGGCGUGUCUUUCUCCCGCAAGAGCUGUAGGCUGACCUCAGAUGCUGAGAAAUCCAGGGUCACAGUUACUCGGGAGGCUGAGGCAGGAGAAUCGCUUGAACCGGAGAGGCGGACGUUGCAGUGAGCCGAGGUCAAACCAGUGCACUCCAGCCUGGGCAACAGAGCGAGACUCCAUCUGAAAAAGAAACAAAAAGAAAAAAAAA